Molecule: long non-coding RNA, 254 nt
Organism: Suricata suricatta (meerkat)
Lineage: Eukaryota; Metazoa; Chordata; Mammalia; Carnivora; Herpestidae
Exons: 3
Source: RefSeq, a predicted model, not a curated record
GUUCAUUUGCACAGAAUGCUGUGUAACAGACAAGGAUUACAUCAUGCUAUGAAUCUGGUCUUUAAACACUCCACAGCUUAAGAUGGAGGAGGAAAAACAAAAGGAGAUGAAAUGGGAGAUGCUUUUGACAAGUCCUUAGUGCCUUUAAAGCACCCAUUCUUGCCGAUUAGAGAUGACAAAAAAGCAAGAGGAAGCCAGUGUACAAGCGAGGGGUUGCUCAACAGGAAGGCUUAGCUCAAAAGCUUCUGAGAAGA